AGCGAACGCUGGCGGCAGGCUUAAUACAUGCAAGUCGAGCGCCUGUAGCAAUACAGGAGCGGCAGACGGGAGAGUAACACGUGGGAACGUGCCCUUUGGUUCGGAACAACACAGGGAAACUUGUGCUAAUACCGGAUAAGCCCUUACGGGGAAAGAUUUAUCGCCAAAGGAUCGGCCCGCGUCUGAUUAGCUAGUUGGUGGGGUAAUGGCCCACCAAGGCGACGAUCAGUAGCUGGUCUGAGAGGAUGAUCAGCCUCAUUGGGACUGAGACACGGCCCAAACUCCUACGGGAGGCAGCAGUAGGGAAUAUUGGACAAUGGGCGCAAGCCUGAUCCAGCCAUGCCGCGUGAGUGAUGAAGGCCUUAGGGUUGUAAAGCUCUUUCGGCGGGAAGAUAAUGACGGUACCCGCAUAAGAAGCCCCGGCUAACUUCGUGCCAGCAGCCGCGGUAAU
Molecule: ribosomal RNA, 451 nt
Filed under: uncultured bacterium
Lineage: Bacteria
Description: bacterial SSU rRNA
Rfam family: Bacterial small subunit ribosomal RNA
Source: RNAcentral